Molecule: long non-coding RNA, 691 nt
Organism: Rhincodon typus (whale shark)
Lineage: Eukaryota; Metazoa; Chordata; Chondrichthyes; Orectolobiformes; Rhincodontidae
Exons: 2
Source: RefSeq, a predicted model, not a curated record
GGCAGCAAAAAGGAGGACAAGGUCAGGAACUCCAAACGGCUCAGUACGAGACAGCAGGGGGAAGACGUGGUGCUGCAGUGGUGUAAUGAUUAAUCUUUUUCUGCACUAAUAUGAGGAAAGCGAUUGUUGGGGCCUGCUGUGGUGGUGGCAGCAUGGUGGAUCUGGAUGUCCUUUCCUUGUGGCCAUAAUGGUCACAAUUUUAUUGAAGCCUUCAACGUCGGUGGGUCUGGUCCAUUCCUUCUGGCAGCAGUUUCAGCGGUGUCUAUAGUGUGGAGGCAUGGUGGUUCUGGUUCAUUCCUUGUGGCCAAGGCAGCAAUAUGGCAGAUUUGGGCAGCACCUUAAGUGCUUGACGGCUUGAGCGAUGGCUUCAGCAUCGACAACUUGGUGAGCUCAGUCUGUCACUCCUUACUUCGGCGUGAUGCAGUGGCUUUGGUGUUGGCUUCAGCAGUGGCAGCAUGGUGGGUCCGGUCCAGAAAUCCUUCCUUUGUUUGCCUCAGGAGCGAUUUCGAAGGCAAAGUCCCAUAGCCAUCCAUAAACCCAGGGACUAUGGAGGGAACAGAAAAUCAACGUUGUCUCAAUUAUUUCUUUUUAUAAUUUCUGUAAUUAAAGUGGUGCCAAAUUGUGGUGACUAAAACACCUUUCACUGUAUUUUCAAAAAUACAAGUAACAAUAAAUUGCAAUUCUAUUCUAA